UAAAAUAUGCGCUCUCUGAAUCCAUAAAUAUUUAAUUGAUUGUACUUGGUGUAACUGAUGAUCUUCAAGUGGAAAUCCUUUGAAUCGAACAAAAAGUUCGUAACCGCUAGGCUGCAUCGUCCCCUUCAACCAGAAUCAUCUAGAUUACAGAUUUCAUAACUGCAUUUUGCAAGAAGAGAGUGCCUCCCAUUCUCUGGAGUAACCGACUUGCUUUUCCGGGCACUGGUCUUUCUAACAACUGGAACUCGUCUCCCUUUUCCUGAUUCGCAUCUUCUUCGGCUCGAAUCCUUCAAGUCCCCUGAUAGAUCCACCCUGAUAGAUCAAUUAUCUCCA
RNAcentral lists this long non-coding RNA (333 nucleotides) under Hordeum vulgare. RNAcentral describes it as "long non-coding RNA (HVUL_LNC018259)". Lineage: Eukaryota; Viridiplantae; Streptophyta; Magnoliopsida; Poales; Poaceae. The record is from RNAcentral.